CGCGGUUAUACGUCGUUUGCAAGGUUAAAUUUUUUGGUUGGCAGAUUAUCGGGGUUGUGGGAAUUAUUAGCUUUAAUGUAUGGUGGAAUAUUCAUUAUUUUUUUUUAGUUUUUUAAGGUUUUUCUGUAAUAGCUAUAUAUUAAACUGGGAUUAGAUACCCCAUUAUUUUAGAUUUAAAUUAUUUCCAGGGAAGUAUUAAUUUAUUAUAUGAAAUCUAAAGAAUUUGGCGGCAUUUUAUCUUAUUAGGGGAACCUGUUCUGUAAAUGAUGAUACACGAUUGGCAUUACUAUAAUUUGAGGUUUGUAUAUUUCCGUUAUCAGGGAAUUUAAUGAUAAAAUACUCUUUUUUUUAUAUAAAAGUUAAUUUCAGGUCAAGGUGCAGCUUAUAAUAUAGUGUGAAAUGGGUUACAAUAAUUUAAUUUAUAUGGAUUUUUUUUUUAAAUUUGAAAUUGAAGGGGGAUUUAUUAGUAAGUUUUUAUAAUUAUGAAUUCUGAACUAGCUCUGUUUUGGGUACAUAUCGCCCGUCAUUCUCAUAUUUUGAAACAAGUCGUAACAUAGGGGAUUUACUGGAAAGUGAGUCUGGUUU
RNAcentral lists this ribosomal RNA (585 nucleotides) under Loxilobus prominenoculus. RNAcentral describes it as "12S ribosomal RNA". Lineage: Eukaryota; Metazoa; Arthropoda; Insecta; Orthoptera; Tetrigidae. The record is from RNAcentral.